This 361-nucleotide long non-coding RNA is filed under the name Elaeis guineensis (African oil palm). RNAcentral's name for it is "long non-coding RNA (EGUI_LNC009475)". The record is from RNAcentral. Lineage: Eukaryota; Viridiplantae; Streptophyta; Magnoliopsida; Arecales; Arecaceae.
GUGUUCUUGUAAGGCAUCCAUAAGUUGGGUUUCCUAGUCACAGGUCAAAUUCGAUGCAAUGAUCACUGGAAUGGUAUCAUUGGGUCCUACAAAUAUAUAUCUAAAUGUGAUAGGAAGUGGCUUCAAAUCUAAUUUAGGUUCUCGCCCAAUUGAUGGUUUAUAAUCACUAUCUUGAGUCGAGUUCGUAUCAAUGGGUUGGUCCAAUUCAUCUUCUAGAUCGAAAAUCGGUUGCUCAGAUCGUAGGGUAUUAACUUCCUUUAUUUGGUUGACUUGAUUUUUUUGUUGAGAUUGUAGACCAUUUUCAUUUCUUGGAUUGGGCUCCGAUUGGCUAGGUAGCCUACCUAUCUCUCGCUUACUCAUG